GGGAGAAAGAUUUAAACUUCACUGUUGCCGAAAAUUUCUUCAUCGAUAUCUAGCACUUGGGACCCUGAAUCACUCCCUGAAGUACGAGAUAUUUGAUUUGACAUUGACGGUAGAAAUUGCAAGGAGAUAGCCUUAAUUUCUUUUUCAAAUUUUGUACAUGCCAACAUUGCUAACAUUUUGGAUUUUUGAGCCAAGAAAAAAAGUUAUCUCUGGAGUUUGGUUUGGUGUUUUGUUAAGUGUUUGAAUUUUUGAAUUUUGUUCCAUUAUCCAGGUAAGAAUAUUUGACGGAUAAAGGUUUGAGCGAAUUUUGUAUUUAUCCCACCAUUUGACUCUAAAUUUUCUUCGAAUAACAGGAAUUAGAUCAGAAGUAAAUUCAAGGGUCCAUGAAAAUACCCAAAGAAAAUGAAAUUUUGAGUGUAAGAGGGAUAGUGGGGGAAAUUACUUUUCACCUUCGGAUGGAAUG
RNAcentral lists this long non-coding RNA (463 nucleotides) under Brassica napus (rape). RNAcentral's name for it is "long non-coding RNA (BNAP_LNC017233)". Lineage: Eukaryota; Viridiplantae; Streptophyta; Magnoliopsida; Brassicales; Brassicaceae. The record is from RNAcentral.